Molecule: ribosomal RNA, 460 nt
Filed under: uncultured bacterium
Lineage: Bacteria
Description: partial 16S ribosomal RNA
Rfam family: Bacterial small subunit ribosomal RNA
Source: RNAcentral
CCUACGGGUGGCAGCAGUGAGGAAUAUUGGUCAAUGGACGAGAGUCUGAACCAGCCAAGUAGCGUGAAGGAUGACUGCCCUAUGGGUUGUAAACUUCUUUUAUAUGGGAAUAAAAUGUUCCACGUGUGGGAUUUUGUAUGUACCAUAUGAAUAAGGAUCGGCUAACUCCGUGCCAGCAGCCGCGGUAAUACGGAGGAUCCGAGCGUUAUCCGGAUUUAUUGGGUUUAAAGGGAGCGUAGGUGGAUUGUUAAGUCAGGUGUGAAAGUUUGCGGCUCAACCGUAAAAUUGCAGUUGAAACUGGCAGUCUUGAGUACAGUAGAGGUGGGCGGAAUUCGUGGUGUAGCGGUGAAAUGCUUAGAUAUCACGAAGAACUCCGAUGGCGAAGGCAGUUCACUGGACUGCAACUGACACUGAGGCUCGAAAGUGUGGGUAUCAAACAGGAUUAGAUACCCGAGUAGUC